CACACAUGCAACAUGUUCUGUUGGCUAAGCAUCCUGUAUCCUUUCAUUUCUGUUUUGAGUUGAGAGCCAUUUGAAUGUAAUAACUUUUUCUGCAUUUAUUUCAACAUGCUUUUAUUACAGAACGAUUAUGAGCUUGAGGCUUAGGGAUGUCAGUUCCUGAUUGCACAUGGAAAAAUGGCUGCAGUUCACUCUAAGCACAUGUGUAUGUGUGUUUAUUCUCAAAGUACAGCAGUCCUGCAAAGAAGGCAACCAUCAGCUCUUUGUGGCAGAUACCUACCAGGAGGGCACACAAGGAGGACACAGGAGGCUUCAGGCUGCCAACACCCCAUCACAGGAGUAGGAAGCUUCUUUAGAUCAGCUACAGCAAGAGUCAUCUGCCUGGGCUGACCUGUGGACAGAAGGAAACUACUUCCUAGAGACCUGGAACAGCUUCCCCUGCACUAUCCAGUAGGAACGUAUUGUUAAUCCACCCUCCAUACAACGCUCUGGGUCUGCUGACCCCUGACUCCCAUCCUGCCCCUCCUCACCCCGCCUCUGCAACCACCGGUUUGUUUCCUAUGCUGUGAGUCUGCUUCUGGUUCAUAGUGACAUGCAAUAUCUUACUUCCUCAGCCAAAGUUUGAUCCCAUGCCCCUUGCAGUGGAAGCCAAGAAUGUUAACCACUGGAUUUCCAGGGAAGUCUUUAUGUCUUUAAAGUAGGAAGAGAAGGCACACAGGCAGAGUUACACAAAGACGACCACACAAAGACAGAGGCAAUGGCUGGAGUGAAGCUCUACAAGCUGAGGAAUGCCCAAGAUUGCUGGCAAUCAGAAAAGCUAGGAGGAAACAGCAAGAAGUACGCCCCCACCCCCGCCCCACCCCCUGCAAAGACUUCAGA
This is a long non-coding RNA of Odocoileus virginianus texanus, 876 nucleotides long. RefSeq lists it as uncharacterized. Lineage: Eukaryota; Metazoa; Chordata; Mammalia; Artiodactyla; Cervidae. The record is from RefSeq and is a predicted model, not a curated record.